Lepisosteus oculatus (spotted gar) is the source of this 512-nucleotide long non-coding RNA. Lineage: Eukaryota; Metazoa; Chordata; Actinopteri; Semionotiformes; Lepisosteidae. The record is from Ensembl.
GAGUCAAGAUGUUAGUAUAAACACCCGCCAUUUCUUUCAAUAACCAGAUUUUGUUUCCAGUUAUAGCCCAAGACGAGCUGGCUCUUGGUUGAGUGUUUCUGUACCACCUCUCUACACGCUCCUUCCAAUGACUGCAGACUCAAACCAGAUGUGGCGAGUCUGACCUAUGUGAACAGUAUAUCAGUUAUCUCCACUCCUUCUGAGGGCCCCUGGCAGGAGACCAAGAAAGACUGGGCCCAGUCAGCUGACAAAAAGAGCACCUGGAGACCUGAUUUGGACACGAAUGGUGCUGAUUAUGACAUGGUACUCAGACACCUUUAUUUGAAGCUAAAAGCGAAACCAGCAACAUCUGCUUUGAUAGAAAGCCUUUUAACAUAUGUGAUCCUACAAAGGCACCAACAAACAUAAAUCCGCUGAUACUGCGAAGACCAGCUGAAAAGAAUGGCAAGAUUCUUUCUUGCAUGAAGCUUGUUCAUAUUUGUCCAGUCUUAGUGGCCAUCUCAUAAUUUGUG